RNAcentral lists this ribosomal RNA (433 nucleotides) under uncultured bacterium. RNAcentral describes it as "partial 16S ribosomal RNA". It matches the Rfam family "Bacterial small subunit ribosomal RNA", at positions 29 to 507 of the family's 1533-position model. The record is from RNAcentral.
AGCGAACGCUGGCGGCAGGCCUAACACAUGCAAGUCGAACGAACUCUUCGGAGUUAGUGGCGGACGGGUGAGUAACACGUGGGAACGUGCCUUUAGGUUCGGAAUAACUCUGGGAAACUUGUGCUAAUACCGAAUGUGCCCUUCGGGGGAAAGAUUUAUCGCCUUUAGAGCGGCCCGCGUCUGAUUAGCUAGUUGGUGAGGUAAAGGCUCACCAAGGCGACGAUCAGUAGCUGGUCUGAGAGGAUGAUCAGCCACAUUGGGACUGAGACACGGCCCAAACUCCUACGGGAGGCAGCAGUGGGGAAUCUUGCGCAAUGGGCGAAAGCCUGACGCAGCCAUGCUGCGUGAAUGAUGAAGGUCUUAGGAUUGUAAAAUUCUUUCACCGGGGACGAUAAUGACGGUACCCGGAGAAGAAGCCCCGGCUAACUUCGUG